AGUGAACGCUGGCGGUAGGCCUAACACAUGCAAGUCGAACGGCAGCACAGUAAGAGCUUGCUCUUACGGGUGGCGAGUGGCGGACGGGUGAGGAAUACAUCGGAAUCUACUUUUUCGUGGGGGAUAACGUAGGGAAACUUACGCUAAUACCGCAUACGACCUACGGGUGAAAGCAGGGGAUCUUCGGACCUUGCGCGAUUGAAUGAGCCGAUGUCGGGUUAGCUAGUUGGCGGGGUAAAGGCCCACCAAGGCGACGAUCCGUAGCUGGUCUGAGAGGAUGAUCAGCCACACUGGAACUGAGACGCGGUCCAGACUCCUACGUGAGGCAGCAGUCGGGAAUAGUGGACAAUGGGCGCAAGCCUGAUCCAGCCAUACCGCGUCGGUGGAGAAGACCUUCGGGUUGUAAAGCCCUUUUUCUGGGAAAGAAAAGCAGCAGGUUAAUACCCCGCUGUUCUGACGGUACCCAAUGAAUAAGCACCGGCUAACUUCGUG
Molecule: ribosomal RNA, 492 nt
Filed under: uncultured bacterium
Lineage: Bacteria
Description: partial 16S ribosomal RNA
Rfam family: Bacterial small subunit ribosomal RNA
Source: RNAcentral